This 309-nucleotide ribosomal RNA is filed under the name Varanus bengalensis. RNAcentral's name for it is "partial 12S ribosomal RNA". Lineage: Eukaryota; Metazoa; Chordata; Lepidosauria; Squamata; Varanidae. The record is from RNAcentral.
CCAACAACCCAUUCGGCCGAGGAGUACCAGGACAAGCUAGAAACUCAAAAGACUUGACGGUGCUCUACCCUACCUAGAGGAGCCUGUCCUAUAAUCGAUACCCCACGAUCUACCCAACCCCUACUAGCACAUCAGCCUAUAUACCGCCGUCGAAAGUAUAUCCUGCAAAGGAUCCACAAUUAUCUCAAUAGCCCACCACUAAAACGUCAGGNCAAGGGAUAGGUAUUGUUGAGGGAGAGAUGGGCUACAUUUUCUNNAUGCAGAACAAACGAAAAAUNACAUGAAUNUUGNCAUUNNAAGGCGGNUUUA